GGAAUAUUGGACAAUGGGGGGAACCCUGAUCCCGCCAUGCCGCGUGUGUGAAGAAGGCCGUAUGGUUGUAAAGCACUUUAAGCGAGGAGGAGGCUCUUUUGGUUAAUACCCACGAUGAGUGGACGUUACUCGCAGAAUAAGCACCGGCUAACUCUGUGCCAGCAGCCUCGGUAAUACAGAGGGUGCGAGCGUUAAUCGGAUUUACUGGGCGUAAAGCGUGCGUAGGCGGCUUUUUAAGUCGGAUGUGAAAUCCCCGAGCUUAACUUGGGAAUUGUAUUCGAUACUGGGAAGCUAGAGUAUGGGAGAGGAUGGUAGAAUUCCAGGUGUAGCGGUGAAAUGCGUAGAGAUCUGGAGGAAUACCGAUGGCGAAGGCAGCCAUCUGGCCUAAUACUGACGCUGAGGUACGAAAGCAUGGGGAGCAA
Molecule: ribosomal RNA, 422 nt
Filed under: uncultured bacterium
Lineage: Bacteria
Description: bacterial SSU rRNA
Rfam family: Bacterial small subunit ribosomal RNA
Source: RNAcentral